AGAUUGAACGCUGGCGGCAUGCCUUACACAUGCAAGUCGAACGGCAGCACGGGAGCAAUCCUGGUGGCGAGUGGCGAACGGGUGAGUAAUACAUCGGAACGUGCCCAAUCGUGGGGGAUAACGCAGCGAAAGCUGUGCUAAUACCGCAUAAGAUCUACGGAUGAAAGCGGGGGAUCGCAAGACCUUGCGCGAAUGGAGCGGCCGAUGGCAGAUUAGGUAGUUGGUGAGGUAAAGGCUCACCAAGCCUUCGAUCUGUAGCUGGUCUGAGAGGACGACCAGCCACACUGGGACUGAGACACCGGCCCAGACU
RNAcentral lists this ribosomal RNA (310 nucleotides) under uncultured soil bacterium. RNAcentral's name for it is "bacterial SSU rRNA". It matches the Rfam family "Bacterial small subunit ribosomal RNA", at positions 26 to 337 of the family's 1533-position model. The record is from RNAcentral.